Molecule: ribosomal RNA, 233 nt
Filed under: uncultured bacterium
Lineage: Bacteria
Description: partial 16S ribosomal RNA
Rfam family: Bacterial small subunit ribosomal RNA
Source: RNAcentral
UACGUAGGGCGCAAGCGUUGUCCGGAAUUAUUGGGCGUAAAGAGCUCGUAGGCGGUCUGUCGCGUCGGCUGUGAAAACCCGAGGCUCAACCUCGGACUUGCAGUGGGUACGGGCAGACUAGAGUGUGGUAGGGGAGACUGGAAUUCCUGGUGUAGCGGUGGAAUGCGCAGAUAUCAGGAGGAACACCGAUGGCGAAGGCAGGUCUCUGGGCCAUUACUGACACUGGAGAAGCG